GGGGAUAUAGCUCAGUGGUAUAGCACUUGCCUAGCAAGCAUGAGGUCCUGGGUUUGAUGCCCAGUACUGCAA
This 72-nucleotide transfer RNA is filed under the name Heterocephalus glaber (naked mole-rat). It matches the Rfam family "tRNA". Rfam says of the family: Transfer RNA (tRNA) molecules are approximately 80 nucleotides in length. Lineage: Eukaryota; Metazoa; Chordata; Mammalia; Rodentia; Bathyergidae. The record is from Rfam by way of RNAcentral.